CCUACGGGAGGCAGCAGUGAGGAAUAUUGGUCAAUGGACGGGAGACUGAACCAGCCAAGUAGCGUGAAGGAUGACGGUCCAGAGUGUUGUAAACUUCUUUUAUAUGGGAAUAAAACCUGGUAUGCAUACCCUCUUGUAUGUACCUGAUGAAUAAGGAUCGGCUAACUCCGUGCCAGCAGCCGCGGUAAUACGGAGGAUCCGAGCGUUAUCCGGAUUUAUUGGGUUUAAAGGGAGCGUAGGUGGAUUGUUAAGUCAGUUGUGAAAGUUUGCGGCUCAACCGUAAAAUUGCAGUUGAAACUGGCAGUCUCGAGUAGGGGAGAGGUGGGCGGAAGUCGCGGUGUAGCGGUGAAAUGCUUAGAUAUCGCGAAGAACUCCGAUUGCGAAGGCAGCUCGCUGGCUUGACACUGACGCUGAGGCACGAAAGUGUGGGUAUCAAACAGGAUUAGAUACCCUGGUAGUC
This 460-nucleotide ribosomal RNA is filed under the name uncultured bacterium. RNAcentral describes it as "partial 16S ribosomal RNA". It matches the Rfam family "Bacterial small subunit ribosomal RNA", at positions 338 to 795 of the family's 1533-position model. The record is from RNAcentral.